UGCAGUCGAACGAUGACUUCUGUGCUUGCACAGAAUGAUUAGUGGCGAACGGGUGAGUAACACGUGAGUAACCUGCCCUUGACUUCGGGAUAAGCCUGGGAAACCGGGUCUAAUACCGGAUACGACCUCCUGGCGCAUGCCAUGGGGGUGGAAAGCUUUAUUGCGGUUUUGGAUGGACUCGCGGCCUAUCAGCUUGUUGGUUGGGGUAAUGGCCCACCAAGGCGACGACGGGUAGCCGGCCUGAGAGGGUGACCGGCCACACUGGGACUGAGACACGGCCCAGACUCCUACGGGAGGCAGCAGUGGGGAAUAUUGCACAAUGGGCGAAAGCCUGAUGCAGCGACGCCGCGUGAGGGAUGACGGCCUUCGGGUUGUAAACCUCUUUCAGCAGGGAAGAAGCGAAAGUGACGGUACCUGCAGAAGAAGCGCCGGGCUAACUACGUGCCAGCAGCCGCGGUAAUACGUAGGGCGCAAGCGUUAUCCGGAAUUAUUGGGCGUAAAGAGCUCGUAGGCGGUUUGUCGCGUCUGCCGUGAAAGUCCGGGGCUCAACUCCGGAUCUGCGGUGGGUACGGGCAGACUAGAGUGAUGUAGGGGAGACUGGAAUUCCUGGUGUAGCGGUGAAAUGCGCAGAUAUCAGGAGGAACACCGAUGGCGAAGGCAGGUCUCUGGGCAUUAACUGACGCUGAGGAGCGAAAGCAUGGGGAGCGAACAGGAUUAGAUACCCUGGUAGUCCAUGCCGUAAACGUUGGGCACUAGGUGUGGGGGACAUUCCACGUUUUCCGCGCCGUAGCUAACGCAUUAAGUGCCCCGCCUGGGGAGUACGGCCGCAAGGCUAAAACUCAAAGGAAUUGACGGGGGCCCGCACAAGCGGCGGAGCAUGCGGAUUAAUUCGAUGCAACGCGAAGAACCUUACCAAGGCUUGACAUGAACCGGUAAUACCUGGAGACAGGUGCCCCGCUUGCGGUCGGUUUACAGGUGGUGCAUGGUUGUCGUCAGCUCGUGUCGUGAGAUGUUGGGUUAAGUCCCGCAACGAGCGCAACCCUCGUUCUAUGUUGCCAGCACGUGAUGGUGGGGACUCAUAGGAGACUGCCGGGGUCAACUCGGAGGAAGGUGGGGACGACGUCAAAUCAUCAUGCCCCUUAUGUCUUGGGCUUCACGCAUGCUACAAUGGCCGGUACAAAGGGUUGCGAUACUGUGAGGUGGAGCUAAUCCCAAAAAGCCGGUCUCAGUUCGGAUUGGGGUCUGCAACUCGACCCCAUGAAGUCGGAGUCGCUAGUAAUCGCAGAUCAGCAACGCUGCGGUGAAUACGUUCCCGGGCCUUGUACACACCGCCCGUCAAGUCACGAAAGUUGGUAACACCCGAAGCCGGUGGCCUAACCCC
This 1381-nucleotide ribosomal RNA is filed under the name Arthrobacter sp. NG12. Its description in RNAcentral is "bacterial SSU rRNA". It matches the Rfam family "Bacterial small subunit ribosomal RNA". Lineage: Bacteria; Bacillati; Actinomycetota; Actinomycetes; Micrococcales; Micrococcaceae. The record is from RNAcentral.